This is a long non-coding RNA of Fundulus heteroclitus (mummichog), 439 nucleotides long. RefSeq lists it as uncharacterized. The record is from RefSeq and is a predicted model, not a curated record. Lineage: Eukaryota; Metazoa; Chordata; Actinopteri; Cyprinodontiformes; Fundulidae. The transcript is spliced from 3 exons.
UCAGGGUCAGUUUGACACGAUGGAGAGAACAAAUAACACAUGGCUAUAACCGUCAUUCAGAACAGCACAAAAUCCUCAGCUACAAUUGCAAAGAUGGGGAGGAAACAGAGGAGUGAUACCACACCUGGUCCCCCUCUGCUGCCUGCACCGAGGGAAACGAGCCCGAGGAGGGCUGCUGAGGCCGAGCCGGCACGCAAGGCAGUGAAACUGGCCCUCGGGGCGAUGCUGCCACCGCCAUGCUUGAGAGCUCAUACACUGAGGAUGGAAAGUGUCACCUUGAACCCUCCAACCCCACUUCUCAUCGUUGGGGGCAAAACAACUCAAAGCAUUCUUUAUGAAGAAUUUCUCCAGAAAGCAUCGUGCUUGUCCAUGUGGGCAGUUGCAAAUUGUCAUCAAGGAUGAACGCGUGGAUUUGUGAUGCAGGGGCUUCAUUCCUGGU